UGAAGCUCUUGGCCAACAUUGGCCCGCUUUUCUGUCUCAUCUGAAUUGUUCUGUAGUCUCAGCUUUGUUUCCAGUUUCUGCUUCCAUUCUUCUCUGAGCCUGAAAAUAGAAACAAAAUAUACACAAACGGAGUAUUCAUCUCCAUGGCUUUUGGUUCAGGGAAGCUUCCUUCCUUUUUAUUCUGAAGGUUUCUGUGUAUGCAUGUGUGUGCAUGCAUGUGUUCAGGUUUUAAAAGGUGUGCAGAAGACUUGCAAAUUUAAAUAUAUACAUAUUUGAACUCUCACUUCUGUUUGAGCACUAUUCUAGUCUUAAUUCUCUGAAAUUUCCCUUGAAAGUGCAGUAUCUUUAAAGUACAGGAGGGGGAAAAUAACCUUAAAUCUAGAAUUAUUUACCCAGCAAAGCUAUCUUUCAAAAACAGAGGUGAGAUAAAGUUGUUUUCAGAUAUGCAAAAACUGGAAGAAUUCACUACCAGCAGACUGUCACAUAUGACAUGUUAAAGGAAGUCCUUCAAGCAGAUGGAAAAAUGACACCACAUGGAAAUCUGCACAGUGGAAUGAAGAGCACCUGGAAAGACAGCUGUGUGUGUCAGUUUCACUCCACCUGAGGCCUUCUGUGUACUGUCCCGGGACACACACACGUGGUACAGGCCUCAGUGUGGCCUCUGGUGUGCAGCAUGCUGAGUGGCCUGGCCUCGGGGGAAGAAGAUGGCAGGGACUCCCCAGAUGACUGGCCACCUGACUCAGCUUCUCUGAGAAUCCCUGGACAAGAUGCCCUAACACAACGCCUCAGCAGAAGCGUUUGAGCUCGUGACAGGUGUUCCGGCAGAAGACCUCCCGGCGGACGUACUGAUUGUUCAUCCCCUGAAAAAGAAAAUACCAGUCGAACCCCUGUAGAACACGUUCUCUUGGACUCUGGAAGACAUGUUAUAUGCUGGGAAAACCUUUUUGGUUACAUGAGCUUCCUCAAAUUUUAGUGAAGCCAUUAGCAAGUCCUUUAAGAAAAAACUUAUCAGGGCUUCCCUGGUGGCGCAGUGGUUGAGAAUCUGCCUGCUAAUGCAGGGGACACGGGUUCGAGCCCUGGUCUGGGAAGAUCCCACAUGCCACGGAGCAGCUGGGCCCGUGAGCCACAAUUGCUGAGCCUGCGCGUCUGGAGCCUGUGCCCCGCAACGGGAGGGGCCGCGAUAGAGAAAGGCCCGCGCACCGCGAUGAA
This is a long non-coding RNA of Balaenoptera acutorostrata (minke whale), 1209 nucleotides long. RefSeq lists it as uncharacterized. The record is from RefSeq and is a predicted model, not a curated record. The transcript has 4 exons. Lineage: Eukaryota; Metazoa; Chordata; Mammalia; Artiodactyla; Balaenopteridae.